Molecule: ribosomal RNA, 253 nt
Filed under: uncultured bacterium
Lineage: Bacteria
Description: partial 16S ribosomal RNA
Rfam family: Bacterial small subunit ribosomal RNA
Source: RNAcentral
UACGGAGGGGGCUAGCGUUGUUCGGAAUUACUGGGCGUAAAGCGCGCGUAGGCGGCUUUGCAAGUCAGGGGUGAAAUCCUGGAGCUCAACUCCAGAACUGCCUUUGAUACUGAGGAGCUUGAGUCCGGGAGAGGUGAGUGGAACUGCGAGUGUAGAGGUGAAAUUCGUAGAUAUUCGCAAGAACACCAGUGGCGAAGGCGGCUCACUGGCCCGGUACUGACGCUGAGGUGCGAAAGCGUGGGGAGCAAACAGG